This is an RNA transcript of Hippocampus zosterae (dwarf seahorse), 2313 nucleotides long. It is a transcript of the gene named glycosyltransferase 1 domain containing 1, with no coding region annotated. The transcript has 3 exons. Lineage: Eukaryota; Metazoa; Chordata; Actinopteri; Syngnathiformes; Syngnathidae. The record is from RefSeq and is a predicted model, not a curated record.
GGACACCCGUGCCUUGACCCAUAGGUGUCAAACUCAGGUCCUGGAGGGCCGAUGCCCUGCAUGUUUUCCAAGUCUCUCUGUUGCAACACACCUGAUUCAAAUGAACAGAUCAUCAGCAAGCUCUGCGGAAGCCUGACAUUGAACCUGUUCAUUUGAAUAAGGUGUGUUGCAACAGAGAGACUUGGAAAACAUGCAGGACAGCGGCCCUCCAUACCUGAGUUUGACACCUAUGCCUUAACCAAUCUCAAUCAUAGAUUACGGAGAUGUACUGUAUGUAUAAUUUUCACAAAAUGUCUUCAACACGCUAAGCACCAUACACUGUACCACACUGCCACCCGCUUUGUCACCGGUGCUUCCUUUCACUCACCACUGUGAGCUGUUCUCCGUGGUUCAUUGGCCCUCUCUGCACUCACGCAGACAUAUUCAUUGGUUCAUGUUUAUCGAUGGAUCCCAGCCCCCCAUCUUUGCUCACUUUGAAUACACCCAUCACACUGUCCGUUCCAGUAGUUUUAUAAACCUCUUUGUUUCCAAAGUCAGCACUACUUCUGAAAUUAUUUUCAAUUGUCUGCCCCAAACUACUGGAACACUCCAGAUUCUAGAACAAACAACGCACACCUAAUUCAUCCCAAUAUGAUCAUUGAAAAAAAGGACUGAGGGAUAGCCAUACAAUUUCAUCGCUGCCGCUGAAUCUUGUAUCCAUCAUGCCAAGUAAUGUAAUGGGUUUAAUUCUAUCACGUUGUACAGUUUGAUGUAUACGCUAUAUGGACAGUCAUACCUCGGUUUUUGAACGUCUGUGUUCUCGACCAACUUAGUUUUCGACCAGAAGAUUCGAAUUUUUUAAGCCUCGGUUCCAACGAAAUACCGGUUUUCGUCCAAACUAAGCAAAGGUGACUAUUCCACUCGACUCCUCUCGGCUUCCUUACAUGAGGAAGUGACGCUCCUUGUGUAGACAAGGAAGCGAGGCUUCCUGGUUUCCUCGUGUUGCGUUCAUUUUGAGCAGACUUGUCUUUUGAGGUUGACGCAAAUCGGACUGUUAUUUCUGCAUUGUGUAUUAGCCCCUAAUAAUGGCACCAAAGAAAACAAGUCGAAGUAGGAAAGCUGGUCAAGAAAAGAGGAAAGUUGUGCGCAAAACUAUUGCAUUUAAGAAAGAUUUGAUAGCGAAAUAUGAAUCCGGUGUGCGCGUGUCUGUGUUGGCUAAGGAGUUCGGCAUGCCGAAGUCGACUAUAAGCAGCAUCCUAAAAAAGAAAGAACUUCUUAAAGUAAGUGAUGUGGCAAAAGGAUCUAGCGUGCUUAGCAAACAAAGGCCACAGGUAUUGGAGGAAGUGGAGAAACGUUUGCUUAUUUUCAUCAACGAGAAACAGCUUACAGGGGAUAGUGUUAGCCAAGAUGCGAUUUGUGGCAAAGCAAGACAAUUGUAUGGCGAUUUGAUAAAAAAUGAUCCUAGCAUUGUUCCUGCAGAGUUUGAUUUUAAAGCAAGCAGAGGGUGGUUCGAAAAGUUUAGAAGAAGAAGUGGGAUACACUGCGUGAUUCAUCAUGGGGAGGCAGUCAGUUCAGACCAGGAAGCUGCCGAAAUGUUUAAAGUUGAGUUUGAAAAUGUUGUCAAGGUUGAGGAAUAUUUUCCCCAGAAAACUUUUAAUAUGAACGAGACUGGACAUUUGGGGGAAAAAAUGCCACGAAGGACCUACAUCACGUGUGAGCAGUCGUUUCCAGACCACACACAAAGUGAUGACGAGGAGCUAAUCGCCGAACAUCGUGACGAGCUCACGACAGAAGAACUUCAGCACCUUCAGGAAGAACAUAAGAAGUUGUUGAAGGAGGAGAUGUCUUCCGAUGACGAUGGGGGGAGGAAUGAUGCCUCUACUGCUAUUAUCAAAGAAAUGUGUGCAAAAUGGAAUGACAUCCAAAACUUUGUGGACCUGUAUCAUCCAGAUAAAGCUGCAAGCAGUCGAGCUGUGUAUGCAUUUAAUGACAUUGUUAUUAGCCACUUUCGUAAUAUUCUCAAAAGAAGGGAGAAACAAGUUACACUCGAUAGAUUCUUGACGAAAAGGAAGGAACAACCCGUGGCAGAGUCUCCCCAACCGAAGAACAAUGCUGGAGUAGAGUUACCCGACGUUAAGGAAGAGGAUUCUCCUUUCGAGAAUUAACCUUCCUUCCUGUUACUACAGAUGUAAGUGGUGUGCAUGUACAACGGCUCCGCGUUUUCCUGUUGAUCUGUGGCCUCAGAAGAGUCAAGGACCCUCUCUAUUUAGUGGAGCAUUUCUCAGAGUGGCAUAGUGAGAAUCCUCAGAAUGUGCUUGUUAUAAUUGGUCCAAA